GACGAACGCUGGCGGCGUGCUUAACACAUGCAAGUCGAACGGAAAGACCCUGCUUUUGUGGGGUGCUCGAGUGGCGAACGGGUGAGUAACACGUGAGUAACCUGCCCUUGACUUUGGGAUAACUUCAGGAAACUGGGGCUAAUACCGGAUAGGAGCUCCUGCUGCAUGGUGGGGGUUGGAAAGUUUCGGCGGUUGGGGAUGGACUCGCGGCUUAUCAGCUUGUUGGUGGGGUAGUGGCUUACCAAGGCUUUGACGGGUAGCCGGCCUGAGAGGGUGACCGGCCACAUUGGGACUGAGAGACGGCCCAGACUCCUACGGGAGGCAGCAGUGGGGAAUAUUGCACAAUGGGCGGAAGCCUGAUGCAGCAACGCCGCGUGCGGGAUGACGGCCUUCGGGUUGUAAACCGCUUUCGCCUGUGACGAAGUGUGAGUGACGGUAAUGGGUAAAGAAGCACCGGCUAACUACGUG
This 468-nucleotide ribosomal RNA is filed under the name uncultured bacterium. RNAcentral describes it as "partial 16S ribosomal RNA". It matches the Rfam family "Bacterial small subunit ribosomal RNA", at positions 28 to 507 of the family's 1533-position model. The record is from RNAcentral.